UAGAUCAGAUCCCACCCAUGUCAUCCUAGCUGUCCAAAGCUUCUCCCUAAAGAGAUACAGCCCCUCUUUCGUCCACCUCUCUUUUCUUCUUCCUUCUUGGAUCCUUGACAACUCAACACUCAUCUAAACUUGCUGCCCAAGGAGUUGAAUCUCAGCCUUUGAUCUUUCUUGCUCCCCAAGCUGAAUUCCAGCCAUCAGAUGAGAUCAAAAGGAGGCCGUCCAAUUCGGUAUAAAAGGAGGUAAGCACCCCCUCUUUUCACGCCAACUUCUCCUUCUUAAUUCUCUCGGCUUUCUCUGUUUUUGCAGCAAUGAACCAGCAGCACUUCUCUUCUUUUCUGCACAAAAACAGCAAGUAAAACUCUCUGUUUUCUCUCCCAAAACAGCAGCUCUUUCACGGACAGCAACUCCUCUAUUCCUUUUCUGGUUUUGUCUCAUGUAUAGUAGCAAGUGAAGACCCUUUCCCUCUGUUCUUUGUUGCUGUUUUCUGCAGAAUUCUCUCUUUUAUUCCUCAGUUUGCAGAAAAAUCAGAACCCUCUCAUUUUACUUUAUUUCACGUCCAGCAAAGCAGCAAACUCUCUCUAUUAUUUUUAAUCCAGCUCUCUUCUCUGUUUCCACUUGGUCCAGCAGCAAGCAAGUUUCCCCUUGACACCGUGAUGACACUGUAGACCGGGAGUCUUUUCUUUAUGGAUGGCAUAGACCCCACCCUAAGAGCAAUAGAUCGAUAAAGACCGGUCUAACUUUUGUAUUGUACAUAUUUAUUUUGAAAUCCUAGAAAUGAGAUGUAAUAACUCAAGAACUACUAUGUAUAUGUUCUUAUAAUGAAAUAUAGCUAUGCGCUAUUCCUGGGAAAA
Alnus glutinosa is the source of this 851-nucleotide long non-coding RNA. RefSeq lists it as uncharacterized. The record is from RefSeq and is a predicted model, not a curated record. The transcript is spliced from 2 exons. Lineage: Eukaryota; Viridiplantae; Streptophyta; Magnoliopsida; Fagales; Betulaceae.